This is an RNA transcript of Ficedula albicollis (Collared flycatcher), 4211 nucleotides long. It is a transcript of the gene named fukutin, with no coding region annotated. The record is from RefSeq and is a predicted model, not a curated record. Lineage: Eukaryota; Metazoa; Chordata; Aves; Passeriformes; Muscicapidae. The transcript is spliced from 9 exons.
UACAAGUUCUACCUGUCGCAGAAGAAUGGAGCAGCUUUUUCCAAAGUCAGAGGAAGCCAGUCAGGCCAAGACAGCACUAGAUGGGUAUGUACAGUGUCACUGGUUCAUACAGCUCGUCCACAAGUCUCAGAACUCACUUUGAACUGCAAAUUCAGGGUCCAGUUCUUACCGUAUUCGCUGGGCGAUUUCUGCUUUGAAGGAUGAAGAGAUGCACUUUGUAACUUUGUUCAGUAAAAAGAGUAUCAAAACAUCGGUGUGAAGUAAAAUUGAGAAACAGUUACAGCUUCACAGCCCUUGCCAAUGCAGCGCUUAGAUGUGUUAUUAAUGUUUCAGGAGGCAGCACUUGUUCUUUCUGAGACAGAAAUGUUGAUCCAGGGUUUUGUGUCCUUUCAGGCUGGGUGUUGAACAGAUUGGCUGGUUUGCCAUGCAGCUUCUUUGUUGAUCUUAGAAGGUCCUGGGUCACACAAUCCUCCUUUGCCCACUCCAGGUGUUUAACCUGCUGGUCACUGUUCUGUUUUCUGCUUGUGCUGGGUUGUAAAGCUCUUCCCAAGUCGGAAAAUGUCAUAUUUCAUCAUUCACCAGCUGCUGCAUUCCAACCAUCAUGACCAGGGCUGAGAGGGCUGUUAGGUGCUUGAAAUGGGAUAUUUGUGUCUUGCUUCAGGCUUGCAAGAUUGAAUGCAACCAAAACACCCACCCUGUGGAAUCAUAAUGUCCCCUAUCAUAUUUGUAGUUAGUAUUUGUUUGGAAACAGUUUUACAGAAGACUUUUUGUUAACUGAUCUCCCAGUGGAAAAACGGCACAGAUGGUUAAGGAGAAAGAUGUGCUGGGGGCUGGCUGCCUUUCAGUUUGUCUGCAACAUGAUAAUGUUGCUAAUUAGCAGAACGGCCAUUUAAAGGCCUGGUUUCUGCUGAGCAAGAGGGAAGGUGCUGUGGUUAAGAGCUGUCCCUGGAAAAAAUCCAAACCAACUGCUCUGUGGAUGCUUGCUUGCGCCAGGAAUGCUUUCCUGUUCUUGGAGGUGGCACCUCUUGGAGCUGCCUACCAGAAGUGAGGUGUCACGGUCACAGGGGGCUUCCAGUCUGUGGGCAGAGCUCUCCUGAAGGUUCAGCUUGCUCUUCUGAGAUCUUUAGUGAUAAAGGAUGCUGCGUGACCCUGACAGGGACCUACUGCUCUCCAAGCUUUCCUCAAAGUCCUUGCAGUGGUGUGUUCAAAAUACUAAAUUUGAUCAUGUUUCUUGAUGAUGUAGCAUCAAGGCAAUGUCUUUCUACCCUUAUUUAUGUUUUUUUAAACUUAAAUUAGUUUCAGCUGAAAGCAUCUGUUUUUCUGGAGUAGUGAUGAGUUGAGAAGGAGGAUACUUUUGCACAGAUCUUUUUCCUGUUCAUCAUUCUGGUGUGCCAGUUUUAAUCACAGAAGUAAUAUGAGCGCAUCACUUAUCUUGCAGCUCCAUGUAGCUGAAAUCAUUGUGAGGGUGGCCUUCUGCCUGUACCACACAGGUAAUGCUGCUGCCCAAACUCUGUUGUUGACUCACAUCCUGUCCUCAUGUUUUCACAUCUUUCUGAAGCCAGAGCUUAAAAAUUGUAAAAUGAAAAUGUUACAGUUGAGUACAUUUAAGUAGCAGGAUAGUUGUGGCUGCUGGGAAUGUUUUCUCUGUGCCAUGGAUGUUAAAAUGUGCUUGAUCAAUGUGAUCCACUGAAUCAGGUUCAUAACAUCUUCCAUCAGGCACAGAACCUUCUUGCUGCAGCUUUUAACUCCUUGUGCAAUGUUGAGUGCCCUGGGUAGACCAGAAUCCAAAUUCUGCAAGUGUGGCACUUGCAUCCUACCUUCCCACUCAGUCUUACAACUGUUUGUGGAAGUGAAGUGUAACUCAGAGGAUGUAUUGGGAGAUGAUUUCCUUCUUUCAGCAGGCUGGGGUUUCUUUCUGUCAAGGAGUUUUAAUGCUAAAAUGGUGUUUCUGUCCACUGUCAAACAGCACGUGGUUAGGAAGUUCCUAGGAUUAAUAUCCAGUCACAAUAUUCCAGUGUAUUUGAUUGAUCCUUUGAUUCUGGGACUAGUUGAUAAAGACAUUGAACAGAUCAGAAGCUCUCCUGAUGGUCCCAGCCCAGAAUGCAAAUACUUCUGUGCUCCAAGAGACUUCACUACCUUUGCACUACUGGACAAAACAUGGAAACAUGAAGUGGAUCUUUUUAGAACUGCUGAGAAGAUGGGGUUCCAGUGGCUAAAGAUUAUAAACAAGGACCCCCGCUUGGAUGGGAUGGAUGACCUGUCUGGAAUGGAAAUUCCCUUGCACUACAUAUUCAAACUGGCAUCCCAUGCCAUUCACCUGGUGGUCUUCUAUGAGAGGAGUGGCAAUUUCCUCUGGCACGGGCCCCUGAGGCUCAAGCAACACAUGGACAGAAAGUUUGUGCCUUUUCGGAAACUCCACUUUGGUCGCUACCCUGGGGCAUAUGAAAAGACAGAACUUCUGCUUGUUUCCAUUGAUGCCUUAAAAGUUCAAAUUCCUAAAAAUCCGUCCAGUUUUCUAGAGGAGGUGUCCCACUCUAGAUUUCUUGAAUGUAGGUACAGAGAAGCUCGGGCUUUCUUUCAGCUGUAUUCUGAUGAUGCCUCCCUUGAUGCAGUGGAAUUCAGAAAAAAGGCAAAAUCCUUGCUUCAUCUGGCUGCCCUGACACUGAAUAACUUGGGAGUGAACUUCUGGCUGAGCAGUGGAACAUGUCUCGGCUGGUAUAGGCAGUGCAAUAUCAUUCCUCACAGCAAAGAUGUGGAUUUGGGAAUCUUUAUAAGGGACUACAAAGCAGAUAUCAUUCCAGCCUUUCAGAAAGCAGGGUUGCCACUGAAGCACAAAUUUGGCAAGGUGGAAGAUAGCUUGGAACUCUCUUUCCAGAGAGAAGAUGAUGUGAAACUUGAUAUUUUUUUCUUCUAUGAAGAGGAUGACCACAUAUGGAAUGGAGGAACUCAGGCCAAAUCGGGCAAGAAGUUUAAGUAUCUCUUCCCCAAGUUCACUCUGUGCUGGACUGAGUUUGUGGAACUCAAGGUCCAUGUGCCCUGUGAAACCCUGCAGUACGUGGAGGCCAACUAUGGCCCGGAGUGGAAGGUGCCUGUGAAAACGUGGGACUGGAAGAGCUCACCCUUCAACGUGCAGGACAAUGGAGUCUGGCCUAUUGAUGAGUGGGACAAUGUCAUCCAAAUCUACUGAGCCCUGGCUGCUGGCAGAGCCAAUCCCCAGAACUGUCAAUUUGUGAUCUCCAGUGCCCAAAGGCAUCGACAUCCACUCCCUUUGUAAUGCCCUGUGUGUUUCCUAAGGAAACAUUAACCUCACUUUGCUUAACAGGUAUUUUCUUCACCUUCAUUGUGCUUUUUCCAAGUGGUUAAAGGAGAUGAAAAGCAACUGGAGGGAAGGGAAAUUGAAAGAAAAGCUGCACAAAGGGAGUAGAGAGGACUGCAGUGGACUUAUGGGCAGUUGACUGUUUAAAUGUAAACAGUGGCCAGGUGGCUUUGACAUUCCUGGGAUCAUCAAAACUUUCAGACUGUUCAGUUCUCAAGCUCGAGGGAAGGUUAGGAUGGGAAAAUCUCAGAGAAGUUCCUCUUUUUUCAAAGGAGAUCAUGUGACUGUUUAAUUUCAAAACACCAGAGGUGGACUCAUACCUCAAGUCUGCUCGAUUUGAGGCUGGUGUAUCCCUCCCAUGAGCAAUGGGUCACUCUUGGGAGUGGAAUGUUUUUGUGGCACAGUACCUGUGUGACCUUUACAUCUAGGAGGUAUCUGGUAAUGGAUAGGUGAAACUAGGUGAAUGGAAGGAGAAGCUAUUCACAUUGGACAUUUUUCAAUUUGUCUUUUCUUUAAGAUUGUGAAUGUGCAUGCCUCUGGGAUGGCUUUUCCAUGAAAAGAAAGAAAAUUCUGGUUUUAAUGUCCCAGUCCUUGUGUUCUCCCUGUACAAGGUUUGACCAGUUUUUAAGAGAUUACAGCUAUCCCUGCAUUCCUGCAAGUAGAUAGAAAUGGGGGUUAUUCAUAGUUUUCUGUUUCACAGAACAGAGGCUUCUCUCUAAAGGAAAGGAAAAAUGUGUACAAAUACCAACAGUUCAUCAAAUUUGCAGCAGCAAUCCUGCCAGUCCUCUCAGUUUCAGUUUCUCCUGCCACUGAAACAGUGGAGUAAAUUGUUCAGCUUCUGGCAACAACUUGUCAGGCUGGGUCUUCAACUGAAUAUUAACUUUGUUUGCUCUGU